This is a long non-coding RNA of Oncorhynchus keta (chum salmon), 646 nucleotides long. RefSeq lists it as uncharacterized. The record is from RefSeq and is a predicted model, not a curated record. Lineage: Eukaryota; Metazoa; Chordata; Actinopteri; Salmoniformes; Salmonidae. The transcript has 3 exons.
UUCCUCUGUCCCUCCCUUUUUCGUCACCUUUAUCUUAUUAUCUUUGGUGCCUCCCAAAAUAUUACGUCACCUGAAAGAGACAAUUUGUGGCAUCAAACCAGCCCUGUAGUAAUAUAAAUACAAACUAGAAAUACAUUGGCAUGACAGUAUACACGGGAACAGUUCAAUUGUAAGCUUGAAAUGGUUAGCAGAACUAGAAGGAAAAUUAUAUUUUAGAGUAGAUAUAAGCCAGAUAUUGUGAUUGUUAAUUGUCAUUAACCAAGACCUUCCUCAAUUGAUAUUUGGAGAAAUUACAUAAAUAGGUGACUGCCAUUGAAGUGUUUGCUGUAGAAAACAACUGCAUCAACUGAGUCCAAAAUGAAGACCCAGAAACUGACAGCUACUUUAUUUACAAUGGUGUUUUUAUGCUGGAAUAUCCAUGGAGUUCUGACCACAACUGCAGCUCCUACGACAACUGCAGCUCCUACGACACCUGAAGCUCCUACGACAACUGCAGCUCCUACGACAACUGCAGCUCCGACGACGACUGCAGCUCCUACGACGACUGCAGCUCCUACGACAACUGCAGCUCCUAUGACAACUGCAGCUCCUAUGACAACAAGUGUAGCUCCUAUGACAAUAACUGUAGCUCCUACUACAACAACUG